RNAcentral lists this ribosomal RNA (253 nucleotides) under uncultured bacterium. Its description in RNAcentral is "partial 16S ribosomal RNA". It matches the Rfam family "Bacterial small subunit ribosomal RNA", at positions 524 to 776 of the family's 1533-position model. The record is from RNAcentral.
UACGUAGGUGGCAAGCGUUGUCCGGAAUUAUUGGGCGUAAAGCGCGCGCAGGCGGUCCUUUAAGUCUGAUGUGAAAGCCCACGGCUCAACCGUGGAAGGUCAUUGGAAACUGGAGGACUUGAGUACAGAAGAGGAAAGCGGAAUUCCACGUGUAGCGGUGAAAUGCGUAGAGAUGUGGAGGAACACCAGUGGCGAAGGCGGCCUUCUGGUCUGUAACUGACGCUGAGGCGCGAAAGCGUGGGGAGCAAACAGG